GCGUAGAGGAAUGAUGCCAGGACGAUUC
This 28-nucleotide small RNA is filed under the name Bombyx mori (domestic silkworm). RNAcentral describes it as "ovarian small RNA-16977". Lineage: Eukaryota; Metazoa; Arthropoda; Insecta; Lepidoptera; Bombycidae. The record is from RNAcentral.